AGGUGUGUAGCUCAGUGGCAGAGCACGUGCUUAGCACGCACGAGGUCCUGGGUUCAAUCCCCCAGUGCCUCCA
RNAcentral lists this transfer RNA (73 nucleotides) under Camelus bactrianus (Bactrian camel). It matches the Rfam family "tRNA". From Rfam's summary of the family: Transfer RNA (tRNA) molecules are approximately 80 nucleotides in length. Their secondary structure includes four short double-helical elements and three loops (D, anti-codon, and T loops). Further hydrogen bonds mediate the characteristic L-shaped molecular structure. tRNAs have two regions of fundamental functional importance: the anti-codon, which is responsible for specific mRNA codon recognition, and the 3' end, to which the tRNAs corresponding amino acid is attached (by aminoacyl-tRNA synthetases). tRNAs cope with the degeneracy of the genetic code in two manners: having more than one tRNA (with a specific anti-codon) for a particular amino acid; and 'wobble' base-pairing, i.e. permitting non-standard base-pairing at the 3rd anti-codon position. Lineage: Eukaryota; Metazoa; Chordata; Mammalia; Artiodactyla; Camelidae. RNAcentral also lists the same sequence under 2 other names. The record is from Rfam by way of RNAcentral.